Molecule: ribosomal RNA, 573 nt
Filed under: Ophichthus erabo (blotched snake-eel)
Lineage: Eukaryota; Metazoa; Chordata; Actinopteri; Anguilliformes; Ophichthidae
Description: partial 16S ribosormal RNA
Rfam family: Bacterial large subunit ribosomal RNA
Source: RNAcentral
CCUGCCCAGUGACCACUGUGUUUAACGGCCGCGGUAUUAUAACCGUGCAAAGGUAGCGUAAUCAUUUGUCUUUUAAAUGAAGACCCGUAUGAACGGCACCACGAGGGUUUAACUGUCUCCUUCCCCUGGUCAAUGAAAUUGAUCUUCCCGUGCAGAAGCGGGAAUAAAAACAUAAGACGAGAAGACCCUAUGGAGCUUUAGGCUAAAGAUUCAAGCAUGUAAAGAAAUCUACGUGGAACAAAAGAAACGAACAGAUUUAAACCUAAUGUAAAAUGAUCACAUGCCUUCGGUUGGGGCGACCACGGGGAAAAGAAAAGCCCCCGAAUGGAAUGAAAACAUUCUCCUAAACCAAGAGGUACACCUCUAAGUAACAGAAAAUCUGACCAAACAUGACCCGGGAUAAACCUAAACCCGAUCAAUGAACCAAGUUACCCUAGGGAUAACAGCGCAAUCCUUUCCCAGAGUCCUUAUCGACGAAAGGGUUUACGACCUCGAUGUUGGAUCAGGACAUCCUAAUGGUGAAGCCGCUAUUAAGGGUUCGUUUGUUCAACGAUUAACAGUCCUACGUGAUCU